Molecule: RNA transcript, 3342 nt
Organism: Amaranthus tricolor (Joseph's coat)
Lineage: Eukaryota; Viridiplantae; Streptophyta; Magnoliopsida; Caryophyllales; Amaranthaceae
Exons: 2
Source: RefSeq, a predicted model, not a curated record
UUUAAAGGUGGUUAUUGAAUAGUGAUUCAUUGUUGAGCAAUCUGUUAUCACUCGAUUGAUUAAUGCUUUUGCAUUUGCUGAUAUAACUGGAUCAUACAGGUGAAUUUUAUUGUUUUCAUACAUUUAGUCUACAUUUGAUCCAUGAAUCUUUCCUUAUUUUUAAGAAUGGUGUUUGUCAAGGAGUUGCUUUCAAGAAUCUUUUUGGUGGACGCUAUUAUCUUGCUGCAUCAAUGUAUACCAUUCCAAACGAGCCCAAUUGUCUGGUGAAGUUCAAUUUUGGUCCUGACUUUGAAAGCUUCCCCACAAAAUUUGAAGGUCGUCCAAUCCCAAAUCCCAUGAUUAAAGUUCCUGAUAUUAGAUUCGACAACUAAGUUGAAAACGGUGUAUUAGAUCAAAACGAACAAUAAUGCAAGUUUUAAUUAGUUAAUUGUUUCUUAUGAAUGAAAAAUUUGUAUUCGGGCUUCCUUAUUUCUUUACCUGUUGUGUCUCGAUAGGAAUAUAUUCCUUCUGGAUUUAUCCAGGGUACAGAGUAUGAGGCUGUAGUAUAAUGAAUUAUUAAUCUUAUAUGUUCUCUUAAUCAAUGGAAAUUGCUUAUCAUUUAUCUCAUAAUUUUAUGGUGUGAUUUCUUUGCCAUCAUGAUGUUACUUUAAGCAUAUAUUUGAUCUUGAUGUUAGGUUCUGGAUUUAUUCUAAUUGGUGUGCCAAUCUGCAACAUUAACUCGAUUAAUAAGUAUUCUAUGUUAUCUAAAUGUUUUGUUACAAUUUAGCACCAUCAAAGCAAGUAAAUGAUUUUCUAGGUAACCUUCUGUCCUUGGCUAUCUUUGCUUUUACUUAUACGACUUAUUUUUGUAAUUUAUAGUAUUUUGAGCAAAAAUUUGUUUCCUUUGUCUCAAGGUAUCAUGGUUGACUAUGUGUUGUAGCUUAUUAUAGUCACUUUCUGUUUCAAAUUGAUUUCUCUUUGAUCCGGAAAUCAUAUAUGCAUAUUUUUGAACCUCAUUAUCAAGCACAAUACAUUUUCUCACACAAAUAGUUGGGUCAUUCCUAUAGAUUCUUCAUCACUAAAUCAUAGUGAAGGGUAUAUGGUACAAUCAAGCACCAGCGCAGUGUUACUACCUUAGGAUACACAGCUAUGAUUUCUCGGUGAAAACAAUACAUUUUUAACUAUUAUUUGUGUCAUAUAUUCGUAGAGGAAUGAGUAUAUAAAAAUGUUUGUGUGUGUGUGCACGCGUGAGAAGGAAAUGAGGAGGAAGAGUUUGGAAACAUGUAUAUCACUUUGAAUUUUAUAGCAAUACUAGCAAUAUGACCUAUAAUUGUGAGUGAUACAAGAAUAAACAGUCAUUCUUAUGCAUUGUGUUGUGCCGUCUUGGUUUCAGCUUUUGUGUAUUGUAUAGAGCUGCAAUAGUAUUACAAGAAAAAAAAUUUUAAAUCAUUUUUUUUGCUAUUUAAGAUAAUUUUCCUUUUGAUAGUAUGGCAUGUUUCUUCAAUGGCUCUACCACCAUUUUUAUGCUGAAGCUAAUGAGAGACAUAAUCCAUAGGUGAAAUCCACAAUCUUAGAGCCUACCUCUUUUGUAAACAAGAAGCUUAUGAAGUUAAGGCCUUCUUGAUUGGGCAAUGGGUAUUGAGGUUGAUAUCUCCUGGAAGAAAAGGAAAAUUUACUGAGUUGUAUUGGGAUUUGACUCUAUUGAUCCUUACCUGGUAAUCACUCUCUUAAUUCCCUUGAGUCUAAAUUCAAUUGACUGAUUGCAUUUGAUUUCUUUUUAGGGUUUUGUUUUCAAUACAGUUUAAUUUUGUGUUUGUUUUUUAGAACAGUUUAACUAUAUGUGAAUUAUGUCUACAUUUUGCAAAUUAGCCAUUGAUUUAUUGAAUUUUGAUGCUAAUGAUUUCAAUUGUUGUUAAUUUGUGUUGGGCGAUUACUAGAAGAUUGGAAGAAUUUGUAAACAGAACUUUUAAAUUUUUAUAUUUUACCAGUAAUUUUGUUGCCCUAGAUAUGCUAUACUAUAUCAGUAGCAGUAAAAAGUUUUUUUUUUUUUAAGUGAGAAAGCUGAAGAUUUUCACUUUCACUUUUGUGAUAUGAGUUUGAUCCUAAUGGAUUGUGAUAUGAGUUUAAUUAUAUGUGCAUUCUUCCUCUUUUUCCACUAUUGUUGCUCUUUGAUGUUUUUAUGCAUUUGAAAGUCUUAUACUAAUAAUUGUACAUCAGCAAGGAGCUGGAUCAUAUUAUGGUUGCGUUGUUGGUCGUGUUGCAAAUCGAAUCAAUUGAGAAAAUUGCUAAUAUUUCUACACUAAUGAAAUCACUGAAAAAAUUGAUAAGAAUUCAACACUAAUGUAGUUUUUUUGGCUUUACUAAAAGCAGAUUAUGAAGCAGCUCCUGCCAUCAUUAGUCCAUUUCCAAAAUCGGUUCCUGGCUGCCGUAGAUCAUUGGCUGAAUGAUAUGCAAAAACGGCAUAGUUUACUUAAUGUUAAUAGCCUGCAUAAAUCAGUAGUAAUUAUAAUAAAAACAUAAUGCUUUAGCCAGUUAGCUUUUUUUUUUUUUUUUUUUUCCAUUGUGUUCAUUAAUGUUAGUCAUUGCAAAUUGGUUUAGUAUCUAAUUUCUUGUUUGUGUAAGAUGCUUUACUCUUUAGAUUUUAUUAGCAUGUUAAGAUUCUAUAAAAUCUACAUAUAGAUGAUCCUUUAUAGGUGUCCAUGGACCAUGGAGCCCGUGCUUUCUAUUUCUGGAUCCAUUGAAUCUCAACAUGUAUCAACUAUACUUCUCGGCUCCUAGAUGUUUGCUAACCCAUCUCGAAAACCCAUUGGAGUUUUCCUUCUUUUGGAAGUUGGUACUUGGCAUGCAUGAUGAUAUCGACAAGAGUGCCUUUGUGCUCCUACCUUGUGGCCCAUACACUCAGUUGGCCAAUUAUAGGUCUAUCCAACAAAUUGUAGGAUGUAUCAUUGAUGCUUGGGUGACAUGGGGCGCAUAGAACAACAAUGACGUAGCCUUAAUCCCAAUAUAUAUGUUCCAGUGCUCAUCUACAAAGAUUAGAGCACUUGCUGUUUGGAACUGUCAUGUAUUGUAACUUAUUACGUUGCUUUUCAAUGAAAAAUUAUGUCUAACAAGAGUCUAAACUAAUAUUUUUGAAGAUUAUUUUUUGCGGUCGUUUAAUUCAUUAAUUUUUUUCAUAAAACUCGAAUCACUCAAACUAAUAUCAUCAAACUUAAAAGUGUAACUUAGGGGACGCACGCGGCCCACAACUAGUAUGAUAAAAUAUUUCCCUUUUUCCACAUAACUAAUGAGCAAAUAAGGUUAUACAAGUACUUUUGAUAAGUUGUUUGUUAGAAAAUAUUUUCGUACAAUAUUAUUAUUCGUUAU